CCAAGUCAGGUGGGACUACCCGCUG
Molecule: ribosomal RNA, 25 nt
Filed under: Piper cordulatum
Lineage: Eukaryota; Viridiplantae; Streptophyta; Magnoliopsida; Piperales; Piperaceae
Description: partial 26S ribosomal RNA
Source: RNAcentral